AGCCUCAAUGAACGAGCGGAUGAACUUCGUCAGACCAGGGCGGUAGUAGAGCAGAAAGAGGAGCUGAUCUCUGUCACUAAACGCCUAAAUGAAACCCAAGAUGAACUCAACAAGGCCCGAUCAUCUCUACAGCAGAAGGACAAAGAACUGACCUCAGUCACUAAACG
Molecule: long non-coding RNA, 167 nt
Organism: Cyprinodon tularosa
Lineage: Eukaryota; Metazoa; Chordata; Actinopteri; Cyprinodontiformes; Cyprinodontidae
Exons: 4
Source: RefSeq, a predicted model, not a curated record